GCAUAUCAAUAAGCGGAGGAAAAGAAACUAACAAGGAUUCCCCUAGUAGCGGCGAGCGAAGCGGGAAGAGCUCAAAUUUAUAAUCUGGCACCUUCGGUGUCCGAGUUGUAAUCUCUAGAAAUGUUUUCCGCGUUGGACCGCACACAAGUCUGUUGGAAUACAGCGGCAUAGUGGUGAGACCCCCGUAUAUGGUGCGGACGCCCAGCGCUUUGUGAUACAUUUUCGAAGAGUCGAGUUGUUUGGGAAUGCAGCUCAAAUUGGGUGGUAAAUUCCAUCUAAAGCUAAAUAUUGGCGAGAGACCGAUAGCGAACAAGUACCGUGAGGGAAAGAUGAAAAGCACUUUGGAAAGAGAGUUAACAGUACGUGAAAUUGUUGGAAGGGAAACGCUUGAAGUCAGACUUGCUUGCUGAGCAAUCGGUUUGCAGGCCAGCAUCAGUUUUCCGGGAUGGAUAAUGGUAGAGAGAAGGUAGCAGUUUCGGCUGUGUUAUAGCUCUCUGCUGGAUACAUCUUGGGGGACUGAGGAACGCAGUGUGCCUUUGGCGGGGGUUUCGACCUCUUCACACUUAGGAUGCUGGUGGAAUGGCUUUAAACGACCCGUCUUGAAACACGGACCAAGGAGUCUAACAUGCUUGCGAGUAUUUGGGUGUCAAACCCGGAUGCGUAAUGAAAGUGAAUGGAGGUGGGAACCGCAAGGUGCACCAUCGACCGAUCUGGAUUUUUAAUGAUGGAUUUGAGUAAGAGCACGUAUGUUGGGACCCGAAAGAUGGUGAACUAUGCCUGAAUAGGGCGAAGCCAGAGGAAACUCUGGUGGAGGCUCGUAGCGGUUCUGACGUGCAAAUCGAUCGUCAAAUUUGGGUAUAGGGGCGAAAGACUAAUCGAACCAUCUAGUAGCUGGUUCCUGCCGA
This 905-nucleotide ribosomal RNA is filed under the name Rhodotorula mucilaginosa. Its description in RNAcentral is "LSU rRNA". It matches the Rfam family "Eukaryotic large subunit ribosomal RNA", at positions 38 to 964 of the family's 3401-position model. Lineage: Eukaryota; Fungi; Basidiomycota; Microbotryomycetes; Sporidiobolales; Sporidiobolaceae. The record is from RNAcentral.